Molecule: ribosomal RNA, 259 nt
Filed under: Theileria mutans
Lineage: Eukaryota; Apicomplexa; Aconoidasida; Piroplasmida; Theileriidae
Description: partial 18S ribosomal RNA
Rfam family: Eukaryotic small subunit ribosomal RNA
Source: RNAcentral
GACACAGGGAGGUAGUGACAAGAAAUAACAAUACGGGGCUCAACGCCUUGUAAUUGGAAUGAUGGGAACCUAAACCCCUUCCAGAGUAUCAAUUGGAGGGCAAGUCUGGUGCCAGCAGCCGCGGUAAUUCCAGCUCCAAUAGCGUAUAUUAAAAUUGUUGCAGUUAAAAAGCUCGUAGUUGAAUUUCUGCCGCAUCGCGGCGGCCCUCCCGGGCCCAGCGUUGCGGCUUAUUUCGGACUCGCUUGCGUCUCCGAAUGUU